This 631-nucleotide unclassified non-coding RNA is filed under the name Hevea brasiliensis (rubber tree). Lineage: Eukaryota; Viridiplantae; Streptophyta; Magnoliopsida; Malpighiales; Euphorbiaceae. The record is from RNAcentral.
GGGAAUUCAAGCUUAAAUUUUACUUUAUGAACUUAAUCUCAUUGGAUGAAUUUGAUAAUGCCUUUCCACUAGUGAACUAGAGGAAUCUACAAAAAUUGUUUGUUCAAGUGAAAGGUGCUUGGAUUCUGCAGGAUGAAUGAUAAGUGAUAACUUUAAUAGAAAUCCUUUCAGGCCCUUGAGUAGGGUACUUACACCUAUUCAAGCCUCAUACUGACAAUUGAUACAUGCUUGGGCCCAUUAAUUCAUAUUGUAAGCCAAGUUAGGUUACACUGGACUAGGAUACUUGGACCUAUUCAAACCUCAUAAUUGUAGUUUAAGUUGGUAUCAUUAUUGAAUCAGAUUCCUAUAAUGCAGUCUCAUGGGUUAAUUGUGCAAAUUUUGACACACCAUGGAAACUUCAACAAGUUUUAAAUGACAUUGACAAUCUUAAAAAAGAAAUCCCAAACAUCUUGCUUCAGCAAGCUCUUCAAGAAUGUAAUUUUGUAGCUGAUAGCCUCGCUAAACAGGGCGUUACUAGAACUUAGGAAUUGGUUGCUUAGCUUUAAUUUCGUCAGUGGUUUUUAGUUUAGACUUGCAGGGCGGUUUUUACCUUAAUAAUUUUCCUUCACCUUCUUUGUUUGAUCAGUUUAUG